GGGAGGAUACCCAAGUGGCCAAAGGGGGCAGACUGUAAAUCUGCUGGCGAUGUCCUUCGAAGGUUCGAAUCCUUCUCCUCCCA
This 83-nucleotide transfer RNA is filed under the name bacterium. Its description in RNAcentral is "tRNA-Tyr". It matches the Rfam family "tRNA". Rfam says of the family: Transfer RNA (tRNA) molecules are approximately 80 nucleotides in length. The record is from RNAcentral.